AUAUUGAGGUCUAAAAUUAGGCCACUUAGCAGAAACCUGCUCCUUAAAUGGUGAAAUAUUUUAUUUUUGCACUUUGAGUCAUAUUCCUACCCCAUAUAAGCUACAGAGGAGCCUGAAUGGAUUGGGCAGGAAACAAAUAUAAUGCAAACAAGUUGCAGCUAGUGCUGAGUGAUCCCAAUUUGGGUGUACUCUGAACAUUAUUUUUUAUUUUUCACUUGAGAAAAUGGCACAAGGCAAUUUAAGUUUUAUUAUGCUUUUAAAUCUCAUACUUUAGAAUCUGGUAACAUCUUCAAUAAUUGUUGAUUCUUUUACAUGCUGGGGAUGAAAAUGCCAACAUUUCAUCUAAGGAAAUUGCAUAAUCAUGAAGGGUGAAGGAUGUUUCCUAUGCAGUUAGAGUCUUUGACCCUUGAGGUCAAAAGAUAUGUAACUCCCAUUUUUUUCCAGAUGACAGAAGAGGACUGAAUUUAGCUAGGGAGGGACUGGCGUUGGCUUUUGGGAAAAUGUUUGAAAAAAAAUCCAUGGCAACAUUAAGUCAAGAAUGUUGAAUAGCUACUUAAUGGUAAAUUUCCUAACAUCAAUCUUCUUUCCUUCGUGUGGAUUUUAUUCUAGAACAAAAUAGAAAAAAAAAAUUGCAACUAACUUUGCAGACCUCUUGAUACUGAGAGUGCCUAAUAGCAGACUGUAAUGAGGAUUGUAAAAUAACUUCCCACACUUACAUUUAUCAUAUCUGUUUUGAGGAAAAGGUAAGCUAGAUUUAUAAUUUAUUGUUAUAACUAUUACAGGGCAUUGUUUACAUAUAUUAAUCAUCUCCAGGUCUCUUCCUUGGAAAACUUUGAGACAAAAUUCUUUUCCAUUUCUUUUUUUAAUACAAAACCUAUAGUUUUGUUGCUUUUUGUUUUGUCCAGAAAUUUCCAGAUUUUGUCUUUGUAUUUUUUUCUUGUUAAAACCAUAUUGAAGGUAGGAUAUACAUUUUGGGUGUGAAUAUGGCUAGGUAGAGAAGCUACAUGCCUUAGAUCUACAUAUUUUUUACCUUGUCUACAGUUGGAAACGUGUGAGAGGCUUACAUCAUUGAACACUGAGAUUUCAGUAUAGAAGGAACCAAGGUUUUUUGUUUGGGGAUGCAAACUGGAGGUUAUAUUGAAAGUUCUCCAUGCAAUUUCUGUCUUCCUAGGGGCAGCGUUACCUGUUUUUUCCUUUUUUUCCUUUCUUUUUUUUUUUUUAAUCCCAUGAAGAGCAGCAUUACUGAAGGGUAAUUGAAGUUUCUAAUCAGGUUUAGAAGAAGGCAAGUUUGCUAUUAUCACCAGAUAAUUUGGGAGAAACCUUUUUUGGCUGCAGAAUUCUCAACAUGCCUAUUUUCUCCAUAGUUCUCUGUGGCCAGAAUUGCUAGAAUAAAAAUACAACUUCCGUAUGCUAGAUCUAUUUAUUAGUAUCCCUUUAAAUCAGAAAGCAAUGAGCUUAGCCAUGGAACCAGUCAGUUAAAUAAGUGUGGACUGUUCACAGGAAGAACCCCAUGCUAGAGACCUGCUGAUAGUGUAACUCUGACACUGCACAUGGCAUUCUUCCCUACCCUGUACCUGCCUGAGUUUUGUUACUUAGAAUUCUAAAAAUCUUAUAAUUUUGUAAAUCAUAAGGACAGAGGCAUCACAUCCUUUUAUAGCUGAUGUGAAACCAUGUGUUCUAAGGAAACCUGUUUGGAAUGUGUUAUUUGUAUAUUCAAAGUCAUAAUCAUAACACUAACCUGCUUUGAUGGUAUUAGUAAAAAGCAAUUUCAUCAUCAGUUUCAUAGUAAACUUUUUUUUAAGGAUUCUUGUUCCAUAAUGUUUGAGAACAGUAACCAUAUUCUCUUUUUAAACUCUCUAAUCUAAUAAAUUUAAUUCUUUGAUAGUCUUCUUGUAGACUUAAGUUACCCCUUACUAAAAGUAAUUAUGGUAAUAGUCAUUUGUCAGUUCUUUACGGUAUUCAGGUAUUUGAGACAGGAAAACUCUUUUUUUACAAUAGUCCCAUGGCUUUCUUAAACAGUAUUGGUUUCAUUCAGAUAGUUUCAGAGCCAACAAAGCAUGUCAGCUUUAAUGCCAUCUUUACUUUGGCAGUUAAGACAGUUUGCAUUUGUAAAAUGUUUUAAUCUGAAUUACCCCACACUGCUGUAGAGGAAAAUUCUUAAUAACACCAAAAGUCAGACUGCUACAGGUGAGCAAUGAGAAAGGAAAGAGGUUGAGGGUAUUUUCUUUCUCUGUCUUUGAGUAGCUUUGAAUGACUGAAAUUACUAUGGAAGUAGGUUUUGUUUCCCCUCUCACCUAUCCCUCACCCCCAGCAAAUGCCACCAAUUUCAAGUAUCUAAAAUAUGGCCAGUUAUUUUGCAUCAAGUUCAAUGAAAACAUCUGUGAAAUCUAUAAUCCAGCUCCCCCAAAAGUUGGUUUUUUAGAAUAUGUUCUACCCUAAAUUGACCAAAGGACUUUUAUUCAGUGUACUCCAUGUUUAAGCAUAAGGAAGCUUUGUGCCUAAUAUGGAUGGAGAAGGAAUACUAUGUUAAUUUUGUUGUUAUUUCAGGUCUGUUUCAAUCUGAACUACUGGGUUGUCUGAACUAGCCAAGCAGUGUUACCAGUUAGUAAUAUCAUCUUUAAAAUGCUUAAUUUUAAUAAUUUUUUAUUCAAAGAAUCUAUGGAUUGUUAAGACAGUUGAAGUAUUUCUGAUAUGAAACAAAGGGAGUGGAAACUGGUACUUAAUGGGGGAAGCAAAAUUAGCUUGGGCUAAAGUGGGCAUGUUUUGUUUUAAGAAUGCUACCUAAAUGUCACCCAAUCUGCAGAGAUACUAGUAUUACUUGAAGAUGUGAAAGUUCCUGUGGUAGCCAUACCUUGAAGCACAGUGUUGUAUAUAAGUAAAUAUCUUGAUUCUAAAUUAAAUCCAGAUUUCACUAAUAUAUAUUAUUUUAUAUCUUUGUUGUAUUAAAAUGUUUAAAAACACUAAAAAUAAAACAUUUGAAAGUUG
Molecule: long non-coding RNA, 2985 nt
Filed under: Phocoena sinus (vaquita)
Lineage: Eukaryota; Metazoa; Chordata; Mammalia; Artiodactyla; Phocoenidae
Description: lncRNA (ENSPSNG00000018961.1)
Source: RNAcentral